Molecule: ribosomal RNA, 331 nt
Filed under: uncultured bacterium
Lineage: Bacteria
Description: bacterial SSU rRNA
Rfam family: Bacterial small subunit ribosomal RNA
Source: RNAcentral
UCAGCAGCCGCGGUAAUACGUAGAGGGCGAGCGUUGUCCGGAAUUACUGGGCGUAAAGGGUACGCAGGCGGAUAUAUAAGUCAAAUGUGAAAACCAACGGCUCAACCGUUGAGUUGCAUUUGAAACUGUAUAUCUUGAGUGCAGGAGAGGAGAGCGGAAUUCCUGGUGUAGCGGUGGAAUGCGUAGAUAUCAGGAAGAACACCAGUGGCGAAGGCGGCUCUCUGGCCUGCAACUGACGCUGAGGUACGAAAGCUGGGGGAGCGAACGGGAUUACAUACCCCGGCUAGUCCCAGCCGUAAACGAUGGACCCCMGGUGUUGGGGGUUCGAAUC